RNAcentral lists this ribosomal RNA (484 nucleotides) under uncultured bacterium. Its description in RNAcentral is "partial 16S ribosomal RNA". It matches the Rfam family "Bacterial small subunit ribosomal RNA", at positions 30 to 507 of the family's 1533-position model. The record is from RNAcentral.
AUUGAACGCUGGCGGCAGGCCUAACACAUGCAAGUCGAGCGGAUGAAGGGAGCUUGCUCCUGGAUUCAGCGGCGGACGGGUGAGUAAUGCCUAGGAAUCUGCCUGGUAGUGGGGGAUAACGUCCGGAAACGGGCGCUAAUACCGCAUACGUCCUGAGGGAGAAAGUGGGGGAUCUUCGGACCUCACGCUAUCAGAUGAGCCUAGGUCGGAUUAGCUAGUUGGUGGGGUAAAGGCCUACCAAGGCGACGAUCCGUAACUGGUCUGAGAGGAUGAUCAGUCACCAUGGAACUGAGACACGGUCCAGGCUCCUACGGGAGGCAGCAGUGGGGAAUAUUGGACAAUGGGCGAAAGCCUGCUCCAGCCGUGCCGCGUGUGUGAAGAAGGUCUUCGGAUUGUAAAGCACUUUAAGUUGGGAGGAAGGGCAGUAAGUUAAUACCUUGCUGUUUUGACGUUACCAACAGAAUAAGCACCGGCUAACUUCGUG